MicroRNA precursor from Eutrema salsugineum, 107 nucleotides. It matches the Rfam family "MIR397 microRNA precursor family". The record is from Rfam. NCBI's taxonomy places the organism in Eukaryota, Viridiplantae, Streptophyta, Magnoliopsida, Brassicales, Brassicaceae.
UGAAUGAACAUCAUUGAGUGCAGCGUUGAUGUAACUUCCUUUUUUUUCUUCAAUUUUUGAAUGGAUUAAAACAAGUUACACCAGCGUUGCGCUCAAUUAUGUUUUUC